RNAcentral lists this long non-coding RNA (619 nucleotides) under Homo sapiens (human). RNAcentral's name for it is "HSALNT0323286". Lineage: Eukaryota; Metazoa; Chordata; Mammalia; Primates; Hominidae. The record is from RNAcentral.
AGACUUGUUUGUGAGAAAAAAAGCACACUUAAACUAGCGCAAGCAAAGGAGUAUUUACUAUAAAGAUAUACAGGACAUGGUAAGGGAUCCUGAAAUGCAAAUACAGGAAUUGUAAAUGGAUGUCAAUACAUUAUAGGAAAGGUUCAGAGUUCAGGCUCUCAAAGGAGACUGCAAAGGUUAGUCUUUGGGAGGCAUCAUUUGCUCACUCUACGGCCUUAAGAAACAGUUUAACUUUUCUGUGCCUUGAUAUGUAGAGUGGUGUUCCCAUAUGUAGAGUAGACUGUGGUCCCAACCUCUUAAAGUAGUUGGGAAGAUAAAAUGAGUUAAUCCUUGUGGACCAUUUGGAAUACUACCUGACACAGGAUUCACUCGCAAUUGACAACAGUAAGAAGUGCAAGUGAAAAGAUGUGAAGUAACAAGAAGUAACAGAAACAAAACAUAAUCAGCAAAAUGCAGCGCCCACCAAACUGUAAACUCAAGUUUACUGCUGGACACUUAGGAUACUCAACAUGAAGCACUCAACCUGGUAUUAUGACACCCAAUUUUUGUUGAAGACAUCACUUGAAGGGAUUUAUAAUGAUUUGUAUUCAUUUAAGGAAAUGGAAUAAAUGAAUUAUGU